CGUGCGCCAAGUGUCUAGAGAGUCCACAGGUGGUUGAAACGGGGAUGAAAAUAAAAAUACAGAUAGCAGCGCCAGGCCACGUCCCCGAUGACUAAAAGAUCUCUAGGUAUAAGGCAAAGAAAAACAACGAAAUAACGCUUCGCGUUUGUCGCAAUGAGAGCACUUACAUUACUUUGCCUGUUUUGUCUUAUCAUUGAUGUCAUCGCAUUCAGGUUUCCCUUAAUAUGCCAUCUAUUCGGAAAAAAGUGUGUGCCGAAAGCCGAUUGCCCCACGGAGAAUGUGUCAUGGAUUUUGGGCUGUGGAGCUAAAAGCGUUUGUUGUAACACGGCAAAAAUGCCAUUUUGCUCUACAUUGGGAGGUACAUGCCAAGCAGUUUGUGGCGGAAAUAUACAAAGGAAUGUCACCUGCUCUGGGAUAAAGACAUGUUGUAUCUACACGAGCAAGAGUAAGCAUGCUACUGCUGGUAACCAUGUCCGUCGUCAUAGUAACAAAUUUAUCCGCAAUGGCUUUGAAUAAAGUGCUUGUCUGCCCAGAAGAAUAAAGAUUUCUGAAUACCGGAA
This is a long non-coding RNA of Rhipicephalus microplus (southern cattle tick), 560 nucleotides long. RefSeq lists it as uncharacterized. Lineage: Eukaryota; Metazoa; Arthropoda; Arachnida; Ixodida; Ixodidae. The record is from RefSeq and is a predicted model, not a curated record.